AUUGAACGCUGGCGGCAGGCCUAACACAUGCAAGUCGAACGAGUGGCGGACGGGUGAGUAAUGUCUGGGCAACUGCCUGCUGGAGGGGGAUAACUACUGGAAACGGUAGCUAAUACCGCAUACCAUCGGAUGUGCCCAGAUGGGAUUAGCUAGUCGGUGGGGUAAAGGCUCAACUAGGCGACGAUCCCUAGCUGGUCUGAGAGGAUGACCAGACACAAUGGAACUGAGAAACGGUCCAGACUCCUAAGGGAGGCAGCAGUGGGGAAUAGUGCACAAUGGGCGGAAGCCUGAGACAGCCAUGCCGCGUGUAGGAAGAAGGCCUUCGGGUUGUAAAGGACUUUCAGCGGGGAGGAGUUACCCGCAGAAGAAGCACCGGCUAACGCCGUGCCAGCAGCCGCGGUAAUAC
Molecule: ribosomal RNA, 406 nt
Filed under: uncultured bacterium
Lineage: Bacteria
Description: partial 16S ribosomal RNA
Rfam family: Bacterial small subunit ribosomal RNA
Source: RNAcentral